RNAcentral lists this ribosomal RNA (239 nucleotides) under uncultured prokaryote. RNAcentral's name for it is "partial 16S ribosomal RNA". It matches the Rfam family "Bacterial small subunit ribosomal RNA", at positions 524 to 762 of the family's 1533-position model. The record is from RNAcentral.
UACAGAGGUCUCAAGCGUUGUUCGGAUUCAUUGGGCGUAAAGGGCGCGUAGGCGGAUGUUUAAGUCAGCGGUGAAAGCCCAGGGCUCAACCUUGGAACUGCCAUUGAUACUGGACAUCUUGAGUACGGGAGAGGUGAGUGGAACACCGAGUGUAGAGGUGAAAUUCGUAGAUAUUCGGUAGAACACCAGUGGCGAAGGCGACUCACUGGCCCGUUACUGACGCUGAGGCGCGAAAGCGU